UGAACGUGUGCUGUUUACCCAGGUUUCAGUUUGCAUCCCUAUCCGUUGGAUUAGAAAGGCUUGAUAGGGAUAUCGGUCCAACCACAAUAAAGAAGAAAAGAGAAAAACGAGGGAUUGGUUUGUGAGAUUGCCCUUUUUCCUUUUCAUGUCAGCUAUCUGUAGAUAUCAGCUGCCUGCCAAGUGAAUGUACCAUCACUUCCUAUCUCCAUGCUCUAUCUAAUAUACUAUGUAAUAAGCUAAAUAUGUGGUAUAUGUGUUUUUGGCGUCUAUAAAAACAUGCUGCCAUGUUUGUGCUAUCAUAUAUAUAUAUAUAUAUAUAUACUCUAGCUUAUCUAUGACCUUUUGAAUGAUAUCCUAGCCAUUUUCUGAAGCAACUUUCGCAGGCAAUAUGCGAAAAACAUGGUGUUAAGAUCUAAAAAUUUGAUGGUAAGGGUGAAAGUGCUAUGGCAUUUGGUUCAUAUAGAAUAUUUCUGAAAUGAUUCUUCUAGCGAUUGAUCAUAUUAUUCAUAUGGAAACAUGAACGAUAUGCAGAGACCGACCGGGAGGCGGAUAUCCUUGCGGCUGAUGUUAUUUGAUAAUGGCCUGUGUGAUGUGUGAAGGCUCCUCUAGCCUUGAGGUUUUACUUUAAAGUUUUAGAAGGAUGGGUCGUUAAUCAUUUCCUUUUUUUGAAACUAUAUGAAUGGUGAAAGGUCUAAAUCAUUUGAUUUUGAUCGGUGGCGGUGCAUUUCGUCGUGGCUUAUACAAUUCAUCCCUCAUUUCGACGAAAGGCAUUAUGCAAUCAUUCAUUUCGAAUCAUCAAAAUUGCAUUUGGUUUGGUUACAUUUAGCGAUGAUCUCAAAGCUAGAGGUCUCCAAACCACAAAGUUUCCACAGGCUGUUAACCCAAACAAACAAGAAGAUAAAAACUAAAUUGUUCAGAAAGAAAAUGUCAUUAUGGGCUUAAACCGACUUCACUGGAACAUGCGUUUUCUCAAGACACAGAACACGACAGAUACACAACGUCGUCUUAGCGAGCCUGAUUAAAGAGAGCUUAAGGCUUUUCUCUGACAAGCAAAAACAAGGCCAAAUGUGUGGAAGUGUCAUCCCAAGAACUACUUACUAUAUAUUAUUAAACCGUUUUCUUUCUUUCUAUUCAAAAGAAGAAGGUAAGCUGGUUUUUAGUCUUGGGGUUUCUGCUUGUUUACGGUAACCUCAUGCUUUGAUCAGGAAGUACGGGUUGAUGGGCUGCAGGCAGCGCUGCCGUAGAAAUGCGAAGGAAACUGGGGUUUAUUUAGUUGCAGGCAUCCAUAUUGAGCUUUAUUCCUUGGCUGCUGCUUGAUCCUGCGGCAAGUAACCAAGCUGGCAGUGUGGAGCUGUCAGUUUCAAGAAAUUGCAACCCAUGGUUACAGCUUACAAAAAUACCUGGAUUUUAUGCACAGCUAUCUAAUUGGGCCACCAGUAUUAUUUUCAGUUAUUGUAUUUUUCAAUUUUAUUCAAUUUAGU
Non-coding RNA from Theobroma umbraticum, 1481 nucleotides. NCBI's taxonomy places the organism in Eukaryota, Viridiplantae, Streptophyta, Magnoliopsida, Malvales, Malvaceae. The record is from RefSeq and is a predicted model, not a curated record.